UUAAGUUCAGCGGGUAUUCCUACCUGAUCCGAGGUCAACCUUGCGUAAGAAAGGGGGUGUUUUACGGCCGGAACCCUCUGCACGGUCCAAAGCGAGAUGUAUAUUACUGCGCUCGGAGUGACAAAGAGCCCGCCACUGGUUAGGAGUGCGGACGGCCGCAGGGCCCCAACACAAGCUGAGCUUGAUGGUUGAAAUGACGC
This 200-nucleotide unclassified non-coding RNA is filed under the name fungal sp. Its description in RNAcentral is "partial internal transcribed spacer 2". The record is from RNAcentral. Lineage: Eukaryota; Fungi.